This 497-nucleotide ribosomal RNA is filed under the name uncultured bacterium. Its description in RNAcentral is "partial 16S ribosomal RNA". It matches the Rfam family "Bacterial small subunit ribosomal RNA", at positions 28 to 507 of the family's 1533-position model. The record is from RNAcentral.
GAUGAACGCUGGCGGCGUGCCUAAUACAUGCAAGCCGAGCGAACAGACGAGGAGCUUGCUCCUCUGACGUUAGCGGCGGACGGGUGAGUAACACGUGGAUAACCUACCUAUAAGACUGGGAUAACUUCGGGAAACCGGAGCUAAUACCGGAUAAUAUAUUGAACCGCAUGGUUCAAUAGUGAAAGACGGUUUUGCUGUCACUUAUAGAUGGAUCCGCGCCGCAUUAGCUAGUUGGUAAGGUAACGGCUUACCAAGGCAACGAUGCGUAGCCGACCUGAGAGGGUGAUCGGCCACACUGGAACUGAGACACGGUCCAGACUCCUACGGGAGGCAGCAGUAGGGAAUCUUCCGCAAUGGGCGAAAGCCUGACGGAGCAACGCCGCGUGAGUGAUGAAGGUCUUCGGAUCGUAAAACUCUGUUAUUAGGGAAGAACAAAUGUGUAAGUAACUAUGCACGUCUUGACGGUACCUAGUCAGAAAGCCACGGCUAACUACGUG